ACGCACGCUGGCGGCGUGCUUAACACAUGCAAGUCGAACGAAGAGCGAUGGAAGCUUGCUUCUAUCAAUCUUAGUGGCGAACGGGUGAGUAACGCGUAAUCAACCUGCCCUUCAGAGGGGGACAACAGUUGGAAACGACUGCUAAUACCGCAUACGAUCUAAUCUCGGCAUCGAGGAUAGAUGAAAGGUGGCCUCUACAUGUAAGCUAUCACUGAAGGAGGGGAUUGCGUCUGAUUAGCUAGUUGGAGGGGUAACGGCCCACCAAGGCGAUGAUCAGUAGCCGGUCUGAGAGGAUGAACGGCCACAUUGGGACUGAGACACGGCCCAGACUCCUACGGGAGGCAGCAGUGGGGAAUCUUCCGCAAUGGACGAAAGUCUGACGGAGCAACGCCGCGUGAGUGAUGACGGCCUUCGGGUUGUAAAGCUCUGUUAAUCGGGACGAAAGGCCUUCUUGCGAAUAGUGAGAAGGAUUGACGGUACCGGAAUAGAAAGCCACGGCUAACUACGUG
RNAcentral lists this ribosomal RNA (509 nucleotides) under uncultured bacterium. RNAcentral's name for it is "partial 16S ribosomal RNA". It matches the Rfam family "Bacterial small subunit ribosomal RNA", at positions 29 to 507 of the family's 1533-position model. The record is from RNAcentral.